This is an RNA transcript of Pecten maximus, 1737 nucleotides long. It is a transcript of the gene named GTP-binding protein 8-like, with no coding region annotated. The transcript is spliced from 8 exons. NCBI's taxonomy places the organism in Eukaryota, Metazoa, Mollusca, Bivalvia, Pectinida, Pectinidae. The record is from RefSeq and is a predicted model, not a curated record.
AUCGCGACUAUUUCCAACAUGGCUGCGCCCUAGCUAGCACCACGACGAGCCGCUAUCUGCUUUAGUAUAAGCAGAUACUUGUAUAUACAAGUCUCUGGUAUAAGCUACAGCUCUGUAUUCACUGUUGACAUUCAGUUUUUCAUUAUGAAUAUCAAAGAACAUUAAACACCUUCAGAUUUUAAAGAUUGACAGAAUGAAGUUCCACAGGUUACUGAAACAUCAAGGGAUGACCGUGCUUACAAAGGACAACUGUACCUGGAGUAAACUCUCAAUGCUGUUGAGAAAUACAUCUCGGGGAUCUUUUGGUGUCUGCUCCUCAUCCAAGAGAUCCUGUUUAUCCAAAACAUACCAAGCAAAUCAACUGACAAAAUACAAUCCAAUCAGUGAGUUGCAGCCUUUUGUGGCUGUGCCAAUCAUACCUGAUGGGACUGUUCCUUUCAAUCCUUCCGAGUCGGAAAUAAAGUCUGCUUCAACUUUCUUUGAACCUAAAACAAAGUUACAUGAGAUAAAACAUAUCAAAACAGCUGCAAAGAUCCCUGAUCUACCCACCUAUGAUAUUCCAGAGGUAGCAUUUAUUGGUCGAAGCAAUGUUGGCAAAUCUUCUUUGAUAAAAACCCUGUUUUCAAAAGCUCCAAAUGAAGUUCUUCGAAAAUUAUCAGUGUCGUCCAAACCUGGGCGUACCAAAGCAUUGCAGCUCUACCAGGCAGGAGAGGUGUUCACAUUGGUGGACAUGCCUGGCUAUGGACACCAUAUGCCUCACUACUUCACUGACUGUGUGGAAUCCUACUUCAAACAAAGAACCAAGCUAGUCAGGUCAUUUAUAUUAAUAGAUGCAGUAGUUGGAAUUACUGAGAAUGACAUGAUAGGCCUGCAAAUGAUGGAGGAAAUGGUUAUCCCUUAUGUACUUGGAGAUGGUGUUCAUUCUGAUUGACGGUGAGAUAGGAUUAACUUCACUGGAUAAGGAAAUGCUGGAGAAGUUACAGGUCUUCUCCGCAGUUCACUGUAUGGUAUUGACGAAGAUUGACAAGGCUAACAGACACAGGCUACUGGGGAACUUAAUGUCCGUGAUGCAGUACAGAGAUAAACACAACAAAUACUGUCUACCACAGCCUUUUCUUGUCAGUGCCCACACUGGUGAAGGAAUAGAACUUCUGAAGACAUUUAUUGCGUAUGUGACUGGCAACAUGCUAGUGAUUGGAUCUUGAUCAGAAAUACAGCAUCAACAAGCUACAUGCAUUGAGGACAAGACCUUGAAAAUUCAGGAACUCCGUCUAUUAGACGUCCUUUACCUAUGUUACUGGAAAAAUGCUAUUGAUUAACCGUUUCUUGAUAGUAUGAUGUAUGUUAAUGACUUUCAUAAGCUGAAUGAAUACAGCUUCCUUUACCAUAGGUAUAAUGUACAAGUGGUUGUACAUGUGUCACAAACUUUGUACGUGCCUGCACACACCUAUCACCUGUAUGUAUGCGACUUAACAAACUCUAAUUGCUGAUUAUAUGAGUAAAUGUGAAUUUACAUGUAUUACUGUAAACAUGGGAGCAGAAACAGUACCUGAUUGCUUUUUAUCAAAGUCUGAUACAGAAGACAGUUUGUGUAUAUUCAGAGUGGGAACAGCAACCGUUACAUGAGAAUCUCGACAUCAUAGCAGGAUUUUUUCUGAUUGCUCAUAGCUUGCUUCAUUUUGAACAUGUGAUGGACUGUCACAUGCAAGAGAAAUAAUAAAACAGCAAAUUCAUAUU